This 450-nucleotide ribosomal RNA is filed under the name uncultured bacterium. RNAcentral's name for it is "partial 16S ribosomal RNA". It matches the Rfam family "Bacterial small subunit ribosomal RNA", at positions 354 to 796 of the family's 1533-position model. The record is from RNAcentral.
GUGGGGAAUUUUGGACAAUGGGGGCAACCCUGAUCCAGCCAUGCCGCGUGCGGGAAGAAGGCCUUCGGGUUGUAAACCGCUUUUGUCAGGGAAGAAAUCCUUUGGGUUAAUACCUCGGAGGGAUGACGGUACCUGAAGAAUAAGCACCGGCUAACUACGUGCCAGCAGCCGCGGUAAUACGUAGGGUGCGAGCGUUAAUCGGAAUUACUGGGCGUAAAGCGUGCGCAGGCGGUUUUGUAAGAUCGGUGUGAAAUCCCCGGGCUCAACCUGGGAACUGCAUUGGUGACUGCAAGGCUGGAGUGCGGCAGAGGGGGAUGUAAUUCCGCGUGUAGCAGUGAAAUGCGUAGAUAUGCGGAGGAACACCGAUGGCGAAGGCAAUCCCCUGGGCCUGCACUGACGCUCAUGCACGAAAGCGUGGGGAGCAAACAGGAUUAGAAACCCGGGUAGUCC